GAAAUGCGAUAUGUAAUGUGAAUUGCAGAAUUCAGUGAAUCAUCGAAUCUUUGAACGCACAUUGCGCUCCUUGGUAUUCCGAGGAGCACACCUGUUUGAGUAUCAAUAAACUCUCACAAAUUCUUCUUUUUGAGAAUGAUUUGUGGAUAUGGAUAUUCUGAUUCUGUGAAGAAUCAGUUGUCUUAAUUUCAAUGUCAAAAGCUUUCUUUAAAAAAAGAAUUUGCUUGUUUGAAAUGAUAGAAUAAGUCUAGAACUUUUUUAAACUUUCAAACCCAAGAGCAAUUUCGUUAAUUUUUUUGAUUAAAGUUUGUUUUGAUUCCUAUAAUUAUGCCUAUACGUGUAACAGUUGUUGCAUGUAUUUGAAUACUUGGUCUCAAAUCAGGUGGGAAAACCCGCUGAA
This 400-nucleotide unclassified non-coding RNA is filed under the name uncultured fungus. RNAcentral's name for it is "sequence contains ITS1". The stretch from base 1 to 105 matches the Rfam family "5.8S ribosomal RNA", at positions 50 to 154 of the family's 154-position model. Lineage: Eukaryota; Fungi. The record is from RNAcentral.